GAUGAACGCUAGCGGCAGGCUUAACACAUGCAAGUCGAGGGGCAGCACGAUGUAGCAAUACAUGGGUGGCGACCGGCGCACGGGUGCGUAACACGUAUGGAAUCUGCCCUUUACUGGAGGAUAGCCCGGAGAAAUCCGGAUUAAUACUCCAUAAUAAGCGAGGUGGCAUCACCUUGUUUUGAAAGCUCCGGCGGUAAAGGAUGACCAUGCGCACGAUUAGCUAGUUGGUGAGGUAACGGCUCACCAAGGCUACGAUCGUUAGGGGGCCUGAGAGGGUUAUCCCCCACACUGGUACUGAGACACGGACCAGACUCCUACGGGAGGCAGCAGUGAGGAAUAUUGCGCAAUGGAGGCAACUCUGACGCAGCCAUGCCGCGUGCAGGAAGAAGG
RNAcentral lists this ribosomal RNA (390 nucleotides) under uncultured bacterium. RNAcentral describes it as "bacterial SSU rRNA". It matches the Rfam family "Bacterial small subunit ribosomal RNA", at positions 28 to 414 of the family's 1533-position model. The record is from RNAcentral.